AAUUAUUUUUACCCGACUAUGAGAAUGGGAAGGGUUAUGAUUUUAGCAGUCUACGUAUGGAUGCCGUAUAUAUGCCGGUAUGUUUUUGUUGUGUAUAAAUUACUAAUCAAUUUUGGUGAAUGAGGUGUUUAUAGGUUCAUUUUUAUGGGGUGACAUAGACUACAUAAUAAUAUUUAACUGACUUUGGACAAGGAAGAGGUGCUUUAGUUAAGAAAAAAAUCAUAGUCGGGAUAUCCUGAACGAACUGAAAAUUUUUAAUGAGGCGCAGAAACAAAAAUGGAGUGUUUUGAAGGAGGGGCACGACUUGUUGGCGAAUCGGUUCAUCCUCUGACCUUUCCAAGGAGCAAGAUCUUAUUUUCGUGUAUGAGAGCCUUUGGAAUACAAUAUUAUUAACGCCCGAAUGAGUGCUACCGCGUUUAAUUUCGCCACUAGGGGUGCUAGUGUAGACGGAGGUCUUUCGAAAUGUCAAAUGCAUAGCUUUUUUAUCGUGAAUUUCUACUCCUCAUUCAUAAUUGUGGUAAAUCUUAUUUCAUCUUUGAUUAGUUAGUCACCAAACAAAAGUAACUCAAAUAGCCGGGUCCACACAGAGCGAGCAUACGCGCCAGGCAACUUCCUCACGCACAAAACGGCCAGUGUAGACGUGCCUCGGACGAGGCGGAGCGCGCGUUUUCCUCGCCCUAGUGCGCCGCCUCGGCCGAGGCACGGCUACACUGGCUGGGAUUACCAUCGAAUCGUCUAAUGUCGAUUUUGUUCCUUUGGGUUUGUUGUACCUAGUGACAUGUUUUUUAAACGAUUGCAACGCCAUCUGCGAGUUGCUCGAGAGACUCAACUUACACACAUAUAUGGAUGUGGCUUCAAAAGUAAUCACCGUUAAUAUCUCGUACCUUGAAUAAAGGACCCACUUCUUAAUUAUUAUUAUAAAUUAUAUUUUGGUAUUGUUCCAGUAUUAACACAUUGGAGGACACCGAGAUUAUUGAGAACUUGGAAGACACAGUUAUAAUGGAAGAGGAAGACGUCUGAGCUAAGCGCUGUCCUCGCACCCUCCGUCUAGUUUACGUUUGCGGCCAUGUCAAAAAUACACACCGUAUGUUUAUUAGGGUUCCGUACCAAAAAGGUACAAAAGGAACCCUUAUGGUGCUAUUGCUAAAUAUCUCGAGAAGUACUUAAGCUAUCGAUGUGAAAUUUGGAAUAGUAAUGAAUAACGCUGACCCAAACAUAUUGGAUGUGUAUUUAUUUUAUUUUAUUUGUAAGUAUUAAUAAUGGAAAAUUCCCAAUAUGAAGAGGGGGCAAAAUUGCAAAGUCUAGUUAAAUAGGUCAAGUGGGGUAUCAUUUGAAAGAGCUCAAAUUGAAAAUUACAAAACAAUUUUUUAUUUUCAUUGUGAAAAAAAAAUUUACGUAUGAAGGAAAAUGUGAAAAUAAUACCAUCCCCCCCCCUCUCAUCUCCGAAGUUUAAGAAUAAAAAUUGUUUUUUUUACAUUGGUCAAGUCUUUCAUGAGAAAAUUUGAAGUUUGUACGGAACCCUCGGUGCGCGAGGUAAACGAACUCGCACUUGACCGGUUAUUCUUAUUGCCCAUAAGGCCCGUCCUUAGAUAUAUGUCAAUGAUUACGGUGAUCUCGAAAAUGGCUCAAAUGAUUUCAAUUAAAUUUGCUAUAUGGGGGUUUUCGGGGCGUUUUUGAGUUUUUACCUAUUUGUUUUCCGAGCAAAAGGAAUUAAAGUUUACUGAUUUUAAAAA
Molecule: long non-coding RNA, 1733 nt
Organism: Cydia pomonella (codling moth)
Lineage: Eukaryota; Metazoa; Arthropoda; Insecta; Lepidoptera; Tortricidae
Exons: 3
Source: RefSeq, a predicted model, not a curated record